RNAcentral lists this ribosomal RNA (484 nucleotides) under uncultured bacterium. RNAcentral's name for it is "partial 16S ribosomal RNA". It matches the Rfam family "Bacterial small subunit ribosomal RNA", at positions 30 to 507 of the family's 1533-position model. The record is from RNAcentral.
AUUGAACGCUGGCGGCAGGCCUAACACAUGCAAGUCGAGCGGAUGAAGGGAGCUUGCUCCUGGAUUCAGCGGCGGACGGGCGAGUAAUGCCUAGGAAUCUGCCUGGUCGUGGGGGAUAACGUCCGGAAACGGGCGCUAAUACCGCAUACGUCCUGAGGGAGAACGUGGGGGAUCUUCGGACCUCACGCUAUUAGCUGAGCCUAGGUCGGAUUAGCUAGUUGGUGGGGUAAAGGCCUACCAAGGCGACGAUCCGUAACUGGUCUGAGAGGAUGAUCAGUCACACUGGAACUGAGACACGGUCCAGACUCCUACGGGAGGCAGCAGUAGGGAAUAUUGGGCAAUGGGCGAAAGCCUGAUCCAGCCAUGCCGCGUGUGUGAAGAAGGUCUUCGGAUUGUAAAGCACUUUAAGUUGGGAAGAAGAGCAGUAAGUUAAUACCUUGCUGUUUUGACGUUACCAACAGAAUAAGCACCGGCUAACUUCGUG